GACGAACGCUGGCGGCGUGCUUAACACAUGCAAGUCGAACGGAGUGGCGAACGGGUGAGUAACACGUGGGUGACCUGCCCUGCACUUCGGCAUUAGCCUGGGAAACUGGGUCUAAUACCGGAUAGUGUGGGAUGGGCUCGCGGACGACUAGCUUGUUGGUGGGGUAAGGGCCUCCCAAGGCGGGGACGGGUAGCCGGCCUGAGAGGGUGGACGGCCACAAGGGGACUGGGACACGGCGCAGAAGAGUACGGGAGGCAGCGGUGGGGAAUAUGGCACAAGGGGCGGAAGCCUGAUGAAGCGACGCCGCGUGGGGGAUGACGGCUUUCGGGUUGUAAACUCCUUUCACCAUCGACGCGGUAGAUGGAGAAGAAGCACCGGCUAACUACGUGCCAGCAGCCGCGGUAAUAC
RNAcentral lists this ribosomal RNA (408 nucleotides) under uncultured bacterium. RNAcentral's name for it is "partial 16S ribosomal RNA". It matches the Rfam family "Bacterial small subunit ribosomal RNA", at positions 28 to 526 of the family's 1533-position model. The record is from RNAcentral.